RNAcentral lists this unclassified non-coding RNA (632 nucleotides) under Hevea brasiliensis (rubber tree). The record is from RNAcentral. Lineage: Eukaryota; Viridiplantae; Streptophyta; Magnoliopsida; Malpighiales; Euphorbiaceae.
UUCCAUACAACUCCUUAAUAAGCCGUAGCUACAGAAUAAUAGGAAAACAAGGUAAGAUAUAGUAAAUUAGAGCAUUUAGCCAAUCAAUUAGUUGAUCAUCAAGAACCUGUCAAGGCUCGGAUUUUUACAAGACAAUGUUGUGUUUUGUAAACAAGGAUCAUAUUUUUUCUGCAAGAGCAGCUCAAAUAGCAACACCCAAAUACUAAUAGCGCAUGGCUUGGACUAUUAAAAUACACGCUAACACCUUACCUGUUCCUGUCUAUCAACAAAAGCCUGCAGAAGUUCUUGAACAUAAUCUAUGAAUCUCUAGAAGGAAAUCAUUGAUUGAACAACAUUCAGAUGGGCAGCAGCGCAUAUCAGAAAAGACAAGUUAGGCAAAGAAACCUUACCAUAGCAUUGGAAGAAAGAAGAUCAUUUUCUGCUUCUCGUAUUGGCAGAAAGAAAGGAACUGUAUGUUCAAGGACAGUCAUCUUUUCAAGAAAUGACUUGCUCUCAAGCACACAAUGGUACAGUUAACAAGGUUCUACAAAAAAUAAAGCAAUAACCAAGUCAGCUUCUUUAUUGCAUAAACAAUGGAUGAUAUCUACCAAAAGGAACUCAACUCAACCCAACUAAGCCUUUAUCCCAAAAAU